GAUGAACGCUGGCGGCGUGCCUAAUACAUGCAAGUCGAGCGAACAGAUGAGGAGCUUGCUCCUCUGACGUUAGCGGCGGACGGGUGAGUAACACGUGGAUAACCUACCUAUAAGACUGGGAUAACUUCGGGAAACCGGAGCUAAUACCGGAUAAUAUAUUGAACCGCAUGGUUCAAUAGUGAAAGACGGUUUUGCUGUCACUUAUAGAUGGAUCCGCGCCGAAUUAGCUAGUUGGUAAGGUAACGGCUUACCAAGGCAACGAUGCGUAGCCGACCCGAGAGGGUGAUCGGCCACACUAGGACUAAGACACGGUCCAGACUCCUACGGGAGGCAGCAGUAGGGAAUCUUCCGCAAUGGGCGAAAGCCUGACGGAGCAACGCCGCGUGAGUGAUGAAGGUCUUCGGAUCGUAAAACUCUGUUAUUAGGAAAGAACAAAUGUGUAAGUAGCUAAGCACGUCUUGACGGUACCUAAUCAGAAAGCCACGGCUAACUACGUG
This 497-nucleotide ribosomal RNA is filed under the name uncultured bacterium. RNAcentral's name for it is "partial 16S ribosomal RNA". It matches the Rfam family "Bacterial small subunit ribosomal RNA", at positions 28 to 507 of the family's 1533-position model. The record is from RNAcentral.